This 278-nucleotide long non-coding RNA is filed under the name Mytilus galloprovincialis (Mediterranean mussel). Lineage: Eukaryota; Metazoa; Mollusca; Bivalvia; Mytilida; Mytilidae. The record is from RNAcentral.
GUCGUUUGUUUAUGUGUUACAUAUUUGUUUUUCGUUCAUUUUUUUUACAUAAAUAAGGCCGUUAGUUUUCUCGUUUGAAUUGUUUUUCAUUGUCUUAUCGGGGCCUAUUAUAGCUGACUUUGCGGUAUGGGCUUUGCUCAUUGUUGAAGGCCGUACGGUGACCUAUAGUUGUUAAUGUCUGUGUCAUUUUGGUCUUUUGCGGAUAGUUGUCUCAUUGGCAAUCAUACCACAUCUUCUUUUUUAUAAGCCUUAUUGUUUUCAAUGUUUUUAUUUGUUUU